UACGUAGGUGGCAAGCGUUGUCCGGAAUUACUGGGCGUAAAGGGCGUGUAGGCGGGCUAUUAAGUCAGAUGUGAAAUAUCCGGGCUCAACCUGGAGGGUGCAUCUGAUACUGGAAGCCUUGAGUGCAGGAGAGGACAGUGGAAUUCCUAGUGUAGCGGUGAAAUGCGUAGAUAUUAGGAGGAACACCAGUGGCGAAGGCGGCUGUCUGGACUGUAACUGACGCUGAGGCGCGAAAGCGUGGGGAG
Molecule: ribosomal RNA, 245 nt
Filed under: uncultured Eubacteriales bacterium
Lineage: Bacteria; Bacillati; Bacillota; Clostridia; Eubacteriales
Description: uncultured Clostridiales bacterium partial 16S ribosomal RNA
Rfam family: Bacterial small subunit ribosomal RNA
Source: RNAcentral